AAGCGGCCGUAGCUGCCGUGCGUUGUAGGCGCUGCUCCGCUGGCCUGCUAGCAGCAGCAGCAGCAGCAGCAGCAGCAGGAGCUGGUGUGGCUGUUGCUCCGUCCGAUGCGAACAACGUCCGCCGGCUUAAACUUCUUAGUUUUAAAGAGCGGCAGCGGCGGCUCGUUCCGCCCGGCCGGAGACGAGUCGAUCGUCGUCGUCAUCGUCUCGAUCGGGCAGCAGCAGCGGUUUUCACUUGCUGUUCGCCGUCCGCGCCCCCUCGCCGGUACCUGUUCCGUUGUGGCCUCCGUGGCUGCGGCAGUUGGGAUCUGGCUGUCGUUAGCGCCGUCGGUUGCAGUCGAACGUGCCGCCGCGCCAGUAGUCGCAGUGGCGCUGAAGAAGCGGCGGCUAGCGCCGACGAGGUUCAAAGAACGGCCGUUCGACCUCGAGCAUCGAGGACGGCUCGUCGCCGGUUGGAAAAAGAAAAAGCAGCUUCACCAGUGCACAAGGCGUCGUCCUACUACGCAUGCCGAUGUGCCUUCGACACGCAGACACUGCUGUCGGCGCAAUCAGCGCUAGUAGCAUUAGAAGUGCUGCUGUAGGAGCAGGAAAGUA
RNAcentral lists this unclassified non-coding RNA (594 nucleotides) under Trichuris trichiura (human whipworm). RNAcentral's name for it is "sequence contains ITS1". The record is from RNAcentral. Lineage: Eukaryota; Metazoa; Nematoda; Enoplea; Trichinellida; Trichuridae.